UGGGUAACACUAACUGGAGGACCGAACCGACUAAUGUUGAAAAAUUAGCGGAUGACCUGUGGCUGGGGGUGAAAGGCCAAUCAAACCGGGAGAUAGCUGGUUCUCCCCGAAAGCUAUUUAGGUAGCGCCUCGUGAAUUCAUCUCCGGGGGUAGAGCACUGUUUCGGCUAGGGGGCCAUCCCGGCUUACCAACCCGAUGCAAACUGCGAAUACCGGAGAAUGUUAUCACGGGAGACACACGGCGGGUGCUAACGUCCGUCGUGAAGAGGGAAACAACCCAGACCGCCAGCUAAGGUCCCAAAGUCAUGGUUAAGUGGGAAACGAUGUGGGAAGGCCCAGACAGCCAGGAUGUUGGCUUAGAAGCAGCCAUCAUUUAAAGAAAGCGUAAUAGCUCACUGGUCGAGUCGGCCUGCGCGGAAGAUGUAACGGGGCUAAACCAUGCACCGAAGCUGCGGCAGCGACACUGUGUGUUGUUGGGUAGGGGAGCGUUCUGUAAGCCUGUGAAGGUGUGUCGUGAGGCAUGCUGGAGGUAUCAGAAGUGCGAAUGCUGACAUAAGUAACGAUAAAGCGGGUGAAAAGCCCGCUCGCCGGAAGACCAAGGGUUCCUGUCCAACGUUAAUCGGGGCAGGGUGAGUCGACCCCUAAGGCGAGGCCGAAAGGCGUAGUCGAUGGGAAACGGGUUAAUAUUCCCGUACUUGGUGUUACUGCGAAGGGGGGACGGAGAAGGCUAUGUUGGCCGGGCGACGGUUGUCCCGGUUUAAGCGUGUAGGUGUGUGUUCCAGGUAAAUCCGGUUCACUUUAACACUGAGGCGUGACGACGAGGCACUACGGUGCUGAAGCAACAAAUGCCCUGCUUCCAGGAAAAGCCUCUAAGCAUCAGGUAACAUCAAAUCGUACCCCAAACCGACACAGGUGGUCAGGUAGAGAAUACCAAGGCGCUUGAGAGAACUCGGGUGAAGGAACUAGGCAAAAUGGUGCCGUAACUUCGGGAGAAGGCACGCUGACACGUAGGUGAAGUGAUUUACUCAUGGAGCUGAAGUCAGUCGAAGAUACCAGCUGGCUGCAACUGUUUAUUAAAAACACAGCACUGUGCAAACACGAAAGUGGACGUAUACGGUGUGACGCCUGCCCGGUGCCGGAAGGUUAAUUGAUGGGGUCAGCGCAAGCGAAGCUCCUGAUCGAAGCCCCGGUAAACGGCGGCCGUAACUAUAACGGUCCUAAGGUAGCGAAAUUCCUUGUCGGGUAAGUUCCGACCUGCACGAAUGGCGUAAUGAUGGCCAGGCUGUCUCCACCCGAGACUCAGUGAAAUUGAACUCGCUGUGAAGAUGCAGUGUACCCGCGGCAAGACGGAAAGACCCCGUGAACCUUUACUAUAGCUUGACACUGAACAUUGAGCCUUGAUGUGUAGGAUAGGUGGGAGGCUUUGAAGUGUGGACGCCAGUCUGCAUGGAGCCGACCUUGAAAUACCACCCUUUAAUGUUUGAUGUUCUAACGUGGACCCGUUACCCGGGUUGCGGACAGUGUCUGGUGGGUAGUUUGACUGGGGCGGUCUCCUCCUAAAGAGUAACGGAGGAGCACGAAGGUUGGCUAAUCCUGGUCGGACAUCAGGAGGUUAGUGCAAUGGCAUAAGCCAGCUUGACUGCGAGCGUGACGGCGCGAGCAGGUGCGAAAGCAGGUCAUAGUGAUCCGGUGGUUCUGAAUGGAAGGGCCAUCGCUCAACGGAUAAAAGGUACUCCGGGGAUAACAGGCUGAUACCGCCCAAGAGUUCAUAUCGACGGCGGUGUUUGGCACCUCGAUGUCGGCUCAUCACAUCCUGGGGCUGAAGUAGGUCCCAAGGGUAUGGCUGUUCGCCAUUUAAAGUGGUACGCGAGCUGGGUUUAGAACGUCGUGAGACAGUUCGGUCCCUAUCUGCCGUGGGCGCUGGAGAACUGAGGGGGGCUGCUCCUAGUACGAGAGGACCGGAGUGGACGCAUCACUGGUGUUCGGGUUGUCAUGCCAAUGGCACUGCCCGGUAGCUAAAUGCGGAAGAGAUAAGUGCUGAAAGCAUCUAAGCACGAAACUUGCCCCGAGAUGAGUUCUCCCUGAGACUUAGAGUCUCCUGAAGGAACGUUGAAGACGACGACGUUGAUAGGCCGGGUGUGUAAGCGCAGCGAUGCGUUGAGCUAACCGGUACUAAUGAACCGUGAGGCUUAACCUU
RNAcentral lists this ribosomal RNA (2196 nucleotides) under Salmonella enterica. Its description in RNAcentral is "partial 23S ribosomal RNA". It matches the Rfam family "Bacterial large subunit ribosomal RNA", at positions 753 to 2925 of the family's 2925-position model. Lineage: Bacteria; Pseudomonadati; Pseudomonadota; Gammaproteobacteria; Enterobacterales; Enterobacteriaceae. The record is from RNAcentral.